CACGUAGGGCGCAAGCGUUUGUCCGGAAUUAUUGGGCGUAAAGAGCUCGUAGGCGGUCUGUUGCGUCCGCUGUGAAAACUCGGGGCUUAACCCCGAGCCUGCAGUGGAUACGGGCAGACUAGAGGUAGGUAGGGGAGAAUGGAAUUCCUGGUGUAGCGGUGAAAUGCGCAGAUAUCAGGAGGAACACCGGUGGCGAAGGCGGCAUCCUGGACCAUAACUGACGCUGAGGCGCGAAAGCAUGGGGAGCGAACAGG
Molecule: ribosomal RNA, 254 nt
Filed under: uncultured bacterium
Lineage: Bacteria
Description: partial 16S ribosomal RNA
Rfam family: Bacterial small subunit ribosomal RNA
Source: RNAcentral